This 490-nucleotide ribosomal RNA is filed under the name uncultured bacterium. RNAcentral's name for it is "partial 16S ribosomal RNA". It matches the Rfam family "Bacterial small subunit ribosomal RNA", at positions 30 to 507 of the family's 1533-position model. The record is from RNAcentral.
AUUGAACGCUGGCGGCAGGCCUAACACAUGCAAGUCGAACGGUAACAGGAAGCAGCUUGCUGCUUCGCUGACGAGUGGCGGACGGGUGAGUAAUGUCUGGGAAACUGCCUGAUGGAGGGGGAUAACUACUGGAAACGGUAGCUGAUACCGCAUAACGUCGCAAGACCAAAGAGGGGGACCUUAGGGCCUCUUGCCAUCGGAUGUGCCCAGAUGGGAUUAGCUAGUAGGUGGGGUAACGGCUCACCUAGGCGACGAUCCCUAGCUGGUCUGAGAGGAUGACCAGCCACACUGGAACUGAGACACGGUCCAGACUCCUACGGGAGGCAGCAGUGGGGAAUAUUGCACAAUGGGCGCAAGCCUGAUGCAGCCAUGCCGCGUGUAUGAAGAAGGCCUUCGGGUUGUAAAGUACUUUCAGCGGGGAGGAAGGGAGUAAAGUUAAUACCUUUGCUCAUUGACGUUACCCGCAGAAGAAGCACCGGCUAACUCCGUG